Molecule: non-coding RNA, 454 nt
Organism: Pelobates cultripes (western spadefoot toad)
Lineage: Eukaryota; Metazoa; Chordata; Amphibia; Anura; Pelobatidae
Source: the annotation of a GenBank genome assembly
CUUCUUUUGAACAGGCGCCCAAAAUUGCACAGCAUAUUCAAGGUGUGGUCUUACCAGCGAUUUAUAAAGAGGCAAAAUUAUAUUUUCAUCCCGAGAAUUUAUGCCCCUAUUUAUACAUGACAAAAUCUUACUGGCCUUAGCAACUGCAGAUUGACAUUGCUGCCUAAUUUGUUGUCUAUAACAAUUCCCAAAUCCUUCUCGUGUGUGGUUGCCAUUCUUUAACAAUUUAAAGAGUUCCCUGUUCCCAAAUUGAUUUGCUGAGCAGAGAAAAUGUUGUGUGAGCCCUUGCGGUCUCACACAGUGAUUAUGGAGAGCUUGUAGAAAUCAAGCUAUAGCCCCUGCAGAUAUAUAAUGCAGCCUAUGAUCGCGAAACUGGAUUGUUCAAAGGUGCAUUUCUCAGCUCAGUGGUCCUUCUCUUAAAACCAUGCAGUAUCCUUUUAUGUUCCCUCUGGUC